AGAUGGAAGGGAGACAGGGGAGAGAUGGAAGGGAGACAGGGUAGAGAUGGUAAUGAGACAGGGUAGAGAUGGAAGGGAGACAGGGGAGAUAUGGAAGGGAGACAGGGGAGAGAUGGUAGGGAGACAGGGGAGAUAUGGAAGGGAGACAGGGGAGAGAUGGAAGGGAGACAGGGGAGAGAUGGAAGGGGAAAGAUGGUAGGGAGACAGGGGAGAGAUGGAAGGGGAGAGAUGGUAGGGAGACAGGGGAGAUAUGGAAGGAGACAGGGGAGAGAUGGAAGGGAGACAGGGAGAGAUGACAGGGUAGAGAUGGAAGGGAGACAGGGGAGAGAUGGAAGGGAGACAGGGGAGAGAUGGUAAUGAGACAGGGGAGAGAUGGAAGGGAGACAGGGGAGAUAUGGAAGGGAGACAGGGAGAGAUGGAAGGGGAGAGAUGGAAGGGGAGAGAUGGUAGGGAUACAGGGGAGAGAUGGUAGGGAUACAGGGAGAGAUGGAAGGGGAGAGACGGAAGGGGAGAGAUGGUAGGGAUACAGGGGAGAGAUGGAAGGGUAGAGAUGGAAGGGGAGAGAUGGUAGGGAGACAGGGGAGAGAUGGAAGUGGAGAGAUGGUAGGGAGACAGGGGAGAUAUGGAAGGGAGACAGGGGAGAGAUGGAAGGGUAGAGAUGGAAGGGUAGAGAUGGAAGGAGACAGGGGAGAGAUGGAAGGGAGACAGGGGAGAGAUGGAAGGGUAGAGAUGGAAGGAGUCAGGGUAGAGAUGGUAGGGAGACAGGGGAGAGAUGCUAGGGAGACAGGGUAGAGAUGGAAGG
Oncorhynchus tshawytscha (Chinook salmon) is the source of this 802-nucleotide long non-coding RNA. The record is from Ensembl. NCBI's taxonomy places the organism in Eukaryota, Metazoa, Chordata, Actinopteri, Salmoniformes, Salmonidae.